RNAcentral lists this long non-coding RNA (685 nucleotides) under Ananas comosus (pineapple). Its description in RNAcentral is "long non-coding RNA (ACOM_LNC012549)". The record is from RNAcentral. Lineage: Eukaryota; Viridiplantae; Streptophyta; Magnoliopsida; Poales; Bromeliaceae.
UAUUUUAGUGGUUUUUAUAUAAAAGGGCAUUUGAUUAAAUGUAAUUAUAAAUAUGAAAUACAACAGUUAUAAUUAUAUUUAUUUUAUUUAAUUAGAUGUAGUAGAAAAUGUUGUAAGUAUAAAUUUUGUUUUUGGUUAUAUGGGGCUGAGAAGUGCUUUUAUAAAAUUUUAUAGAAUUUUAUCUCUUUAAGUCUUCUUAUUAAGAAGGUAAAUUCAUGUUUUGUUUAAAGUUAUUUUUUUCAACUCUACAGUUGAAAUUUUAGCUAAUUUGAGCGUAGUAUCAGCUGCUGCAAUUUUAACUUCACACGCAUUUUCGAAUUUAUGUACAAUUGGAAAAUGUUAGCUGUGAACCCAAAAAGGGGUGUGCAGCUUGCGCUCUUCAUCCUAAUUAAGGUUCAUAAACCUUUUGAAUAUUUUAUAUUAAAAUUAAUACAAAUUAAAAAUAUAUAAAAGUUAUCUAAACUAUAGACCAUUUUAAGCUGAUUUUUUAACUUUUCAAUUUGUUUGAUUUGAAUCCGUCAACGAUAUUUUGACUUCAAAAUUUGAAUCUGGCUUUUAUAUUAAUACGCUUAAUUUGUAUAAUUCAUGCAAUUUUUACAACUAUAAAUUUAUUAAAAUAAGUAAUUAUUUUUAAUUUUAAAGUCAAAGUACUAUAGAGUCACUCAAAUCAAACCAAUUGAAAGUU